UGGAGAGUUUGAUCCUGGCUCAGAUUGAACGCUGGCGGCAGGCCUAACACAUGCAAGUCGAACGGUAGCAGGGAGAGCUUGCUCUCGGGUGACGAGUGGCGGACGGGUGAGUAAUGUCUGGGAAACUGCCUGAUGGAGGGGGAUAACUACUGGAAACGGUAGCUAAUACCGCAUAACGUCGCAAGACCAAAGAGGGGGACCUUCGGGCCUCUUGCCAUCAGAUGUGCCCAGAUGGGAUUAGCUAGUAGGUGGGGUAAUGGCUCACCUAGGCGACGAUCCCUAGCUGGUCUGAGAGGAUGACCAGCCACACUGGAACUGAGACACGGUCCAGACUCCUACGGGAGGCAGCAGUGGGGAAUAUUGCACAAUGGGCGCAAGCCUGAUGCAGCCAUGCCGCGUGUAUGAAGAAGGCCUUCGGGUUGUAAAGUACUUUCAGCGGGGAGGAAGGUGUUGCGGUUAAUAACCACAGCAAUUGACGUUACCCGCAGAAGAAGCACCGGCUAACUCCGUGCCAGCAGCCGCGGUA
RNAcentral lists this ribosomal RNA (526 nucleotides) under Cronobacter sakazakii. Its description in RNAcentral is "bacterial SSU rRNA". It matches the Rfam family "Bacterial small subunit ribosomal RNA", at positions 1 to 522 of the family's 1533-position model. Lineage: Bacteria; Pseudomonadati; Pseudomonadota; Gammaproteobacteria; Enterobacterales; Enterobacteriaceae. The record is from RNAcentral.